UACGGAGGAUGCGAGCGUUAUCCGGAUUUAUUGGGUUUAAAGGGUGCGUAGGCGGAUCGUUAAGUCAGUGGUCAAAUUGAGGGGCUCAACCCCUUCCCGCCAUUGAAACUGGCGAUCUUGAGUGGAAGAGAAGUAUGCGGAACGCGUGGUGUAGCGGUGAAAUGCAUAGAUAUCACGCAGAACCCCGAUUGCGAAGGCAGCAUGCCGGCUUCCUACUGACGCUGAAGCACGAAAGCGUGGGGAUCGAACAGG
Molecule: ribosomal RNA, 252 nt
Filed under: uncultured bacterium
Lineage: Bacteria
Description: partial 16S ribosomal RNA
Rfam family: Bacterial small subunit ribosomal RNA
Source: RNAcentral